CCUACGGGGGGCAGCAGUGAGGAAUAUUGGUCAAUGGACGAGAGUCUGAACCAGCCAAGUAGCGUGAAGGAUGACUGCCCUAUGGGUUGUAAACUUCUUUUAUAUGGGAAUAAAACGUUCCACGUGUGGGAUUUUGUAUGUACCAUAUGAAUAAGGAUCGGCUAACUUCGUGCCAGCAGCCGCGGUAAUACGGAGGAUCCGAGCGUUAUCCGGAUUUAUUGGGUUUAAAGGGAGCGUAGGUGGAUUGUUAAGUCAGUUGUGAAAGUGCGCGGCUCAACCGUAAAAUUGCAGUUGAAACUGGCAGUCUUGAGUACAGUAGAGGUGGGCGGAAUUCGUGGUGUAGCGGUGAAAUGCUUAGAUAUCACGAAGAACUCCGAUUGCGAAGGCAGUUCACUGGACUGCAACUGACACUGAGGCUCGAAAGUGUGGGUAUCAAACAGGAUUAGAUACCCUAGUAGUC
RNAcentral lists this ribosomal RNA (460 nucleotides) under uncultured bacterium. Its description in RNAcentral is "partial 16S ribosomal RNA". It matches the Rfam family "Bacterial small subunit ribosomal RNA", at positions 338 to 795 of the family's 1533-position model. The record is from RNAcentral.